UUUUUUUUUCCUUAUUUUACAAUUUUUAAAGAGGGUUGACUUUGAGCUGCAAACCUUAACCCUGGUUUGGCAUUUUCUUCGCUUUGAUUGAUCUGCUGCAAACCUUAACCCUGGUUUGGCAUUUUCUUCGCUUUGAUUGAUCUGCUGAAAACCCUAACCCUGAUUUGCAGUUUGUAAAAAGUCAAUAAAAUUUUAUUUCAACGAAAUCGUGAAUAAAAAUUAUGCCUGGAAAUUUUGAUUCUCUUAUGAAAAAAAAUAAAACGAAUCUGGUUAAUUUAUGGAAAACUAUAAAAACAAUGUUUUUGUUUCCUGAUUUAUCGAAAUAAUUGUCAAUCAAAGUGAGCAUGUAGUAAAUGUGAACCUAAAUUCUAUGGAAACCCUAGAGUGGCGAGUGAACAUUAAUUUUUUUUUCUUUGAUUUACAGUUUUUAAAUCGCUCUAGUGAUGUAUCAAAAUAAUGGUCAACGAUUUGAUAAACUAUAAAAAGAAUGUUUUUAAAUCACUGAUUUAUUUUGGGUCACCAAAAAGGGUUACAUGUUGCAAAGAUAAAUUAAUUUAUUUUUUGCAGCCUUACAUCUUUUAUAUUUAUGUAGAAAUUACUAUUGUUCAUUCAAAGUUCUAUGCGGUAUAACAUGCUAGUUUAAUGCUCAAGAUGCUAUUUUUUGAUCUCAACUGAUGGAUUUCUAAUGGAAUUAGUUGGUAUUAGCUUACAAUUCUGUAGCCGUUUUUUGGGUUGUUAGCCUUUGAUGAACUCAACAGUAUGAUAAAUAACUUCCUCUUAUAAUUUUGUAAUUUUUUACUGACUUUCUGUUACAAUUUUCAAAAUGAGCCUAUUUAUUGUUCAUUUGUUGGCUAUUGAUUUUUUUGGUCAUGGUAAAUUGAGGGAGUAAAUAUGUGAUAAUCAAUUCCCAACGUGUCAUGUAAGAGUUGAGGCUAGAGAAAGAGUCUGUAGUUGCAGAAGAUUUGUUGUAUGGGUUUAGUUGAGGAGUCAUGUAAUUCUGAGUCAAUAAAGGGAGUUAAGAGACAGAGAGAAGUUGCCUAUGCAAGUGUGGGUGAUAUAGAUGAGAGUGAGAGAUUGGUUGUCUCUAUUAGUUAAAUGCAAUUGGAAGGAAUCUUUUUAAUAGCAACCUCUGCCUAGGGGGGGAAACAUGUAUGAGAGAGUGAUGGGUUUCCGCAACUAUAGCAGAUUGUGCCUAUGGAAAGACAGAGACUUCGAAUAUAAAGUUGGAGAGAGACUGCAGUAAAAUGCACAAGGUAGUGUGUGUGUGAGAGAGAGGUAUUCUGGUAUUGAUUUGGAUUUUUGGAGCUAUCUGAGGUCUGGAUUUAAAUUGCUUGGCCUAUUGACCUAUAAAUUUAUAAUAGUCUCAUGACUGCGUUACAAGCAACAAAGAGAAAGGAGAUGAGUCCCACAGCUGUGUAUUUGAGAACUUGUGCUUGAUUUUACUUCCAAUGAAAUGGACAUCUAGAACGCUGCUUGCUAGCUCUAUUUCUCUCGCAUUUCAUGUCACAUUUCCAAUUGGAAUUUAUUCAUGCAUGGAUCAAUCCUUAUUGAUGAAGUUUAUUGCAUGAAUCAGUAAUCAAUAAUUUUGCAUAAAUCAAUGCUUAGUGAAUGAAGCAAUGCGUAUUGAUGUAAUUGUGGGCAUGCUAAUUUACUGUCUUCUGUUGCCUUUCAAGAUAGUAUCAGUCUUUCACUGCCAAUGAGUCGAAAUUGUUAGGAUAGGAUCUAUUCACAUGUCUUUGAGUUCUUGUGAUCUUUACUUUCCUUAUUUAACUCUGAAAAUAAUUUUUAUUAGUCAGUUGAUUGAUCAAAGUUCUGUGACCUUUGCUCUUCAUGACGUUUGUCUCUUUCAAGAACAUCAAAAUGAGAAGCUGAUUGUUAGAUGUCUUUUAUAACUAGACUGUCUUUUGGAACCUACUUUUGCAUCAUAUGCUGCUUAAACUAGCAGUCACAAGUCACAACUCACACAUACAUGGGGUCUCUAGCAUAAUAGAUUGGGGAAAUGAAUUGUCAUUAGACUUCAAAUAUUGCUUGCUUCUGGUCCCUUUGUUCUAAUUCAUGUAUUUUUCAUUGAAAUCUCAAAUAGUUAGUAGGGUUGCAACUUUUGUAAAAACAGGCUAAACAUCACUACUUAUUUCUACAUGUCUUUUUCAUUGAAAUCUCUAAUAGUUGUAGGGUUGCAACUUUUGUAAAAACAGGCUAAACAUCACUACUUAUUUCUACAAUUUUGAGAAUAAAACUUUGCAAUGUAGCUACAUUUGAUUCUGUUUAUUCGAAUGUCAAGGCCCAUUUUCUGUUAUAGAUUGGACGAACAUGACAUUGCAACACAGUUGUGUCCAUUCUGGGAAUAAAACUUUGCUAUACUCUCUCUCUCUCGCUCAUUAUCUCUCUGUUUGAGUGAUUGCUUUCAUGUUACUAUUUCAAAGGUGGCAAAUCUUCUAUAAUGUACUGGUGUGAUGGCAAAAUGGAAUGGAUAGCUUUUAAACUUUUAAAUAUCUAUUUCUUAAAUAAUAGGAAUAUGUUUACUCUUACAUGCUGCUUGUGUAUUGAGUGAAAUUUUGAUAUUGAGAAAAUCAAUUUUGUUUCUUGUUUAUGUAAAUAUUGGUAGCAUCAAAGGCGGUUCAUACUUUUAUAAAAUCUCCAAUCACAAUAAAGUAUUUCUUGAAUCUAUUUACUUGUUUGGUAUUAUUAUGUUUGAUGAAAGGAAGGAACCUUAUUUACUUACAAAAUGUUAUUAAAGUGCAUUUUGCACAUCAUAUCUAUAAAAUACAUAAUGAACAAUGUUAGAUGCAGUUUCCAGCUUUCCCGUUGCCAAACAGGUGAAAGUACGAGCACUACAGUUUAUCAAACAGGGUUUCCAGCUUUCACCCUACUAAUUUUCACCUGCAUCCCAUAAUUCAUUUUCACCUGCAUCCUAGAAUUCAGGAAAGUCAAUAGCUAGGGUGAUUCCCUAGGAGAUUGCAGUGGAAGUUAGUCUCAUCCCUUUGUUUUUCAAGGAUUUUGUGUGUUUUAUUGAUAAAUCCCUCUCUUUAUUUUCCUUAAUUUACUCUCCUUCCCUCCCACCAUAUUAAUAAAGGAAAACAUUUAUAUAGAGCCGAGGCUCUAAACAAUCAAAUUAGAGCCCACCUGAAAAUUUUCACUAGAAGAGGUUGGUUUGAUGCCCAAAUAUCCUGAAAUUGAUCAUCUUGACAUCAAGAUGCAUGGACUUGAGAAAGAAAUGGAUUUCAAGUUUGGAAAUAAUGCAUUUGUAACACAUUUUUGGACCGUCAAUUUUCAAGUUUUUCAAGUUUUCAUAGAUCUGUUCGAUCUACACUAUUUUUAAG
Molecule: long non-coding RNA, 3320 nt
Filed under: Amborella trichopoda
Lineage: Eukaryota; Viridiplantae; Streptophyta; Magnoliopsida; Amborellales; Amborellaceae
Description: long non-coding RNA (ATRI_LNC000898)
Source: RNAcentral